GACUCGGUGGUGAAAUAAAUCACACCCGCCACGCAUAUAUCUGAGAGUGCCGAGCUAAACCGCGGGAGUUCCCUGUUCGAACCAGGGCUGAGUCU
This is a non-coding RNA of Mycena metata, 95 nucleotides long. The record is from the annotation of a GenBank genome assembly. Lineage: Eukaryota; Fungi; Basidiomycota; Agaricomycetes; Agaricales; Mycenaceae.